CCCUUUGGGGUGUGACUGCGUACCUUUUGUAUAAUGGGUCAGCGACUUAUAUUCUGUAGCAAGGUUAACCGUAUAGGGGAGCCGGAGGGAAACCGAGUCUUAAUUGGGCGUUAAGUUGCAGGGUAUAGACCCGAAACCCGGUGAUCUAGCCAUGGGCAGGUUGAAGGUUGGGUAACACUAACUGGAGGACCGAACCGACUAAUGUUGAAAAAUUAGCGGAUGACCUGUGGCUGGGGGUGAAAGGCCAAUCAAACCGGGAGAUAGCUGGUUCUCCCCGAAAGCUAUUUAGGUAGCGCCUCGUGAAUUCAUCUCCGGGGGUAGAGCACUGUUUCGGCUAGGGGGCCAUCCCGGCUUACCAACCCGAUGCAAACUGCGAAUACCGGAGAAUGUUAUCACGGGAGACACACGGCGGGUGCUAACGUCCGUCGUGAAGAGGGAAACAACCCAGACCGCCAGCUAAGGUCCCAAAGUCAUGGUUAAGUGGGAAACGAUGUGGGAAGGCCCAGACAGCCAGGAUGUUGGCUUAGAAGCAGCCAUCAUUUAAAGAAAGCGUAAUAGCUCACUGGUCGAGUCGGCCUGCGCGGAAGAUGUAACGGGGCUAAACCAUGCACCGAAGCUGCGGCAGCGACGCUGAUGCGUUGUUGGGUAGGGGAGCGUUCUGUAAGCCUG
RNAcentral lists this ribosomal RNA (669 nucleotides) under Salmonella enterica subsp. enterica serovar Oranienburg. RNAcentral describes it as "partial 23S ribosomal RNA". It matches the Rfam family "Bacterial large subunit ribosomal RNA", at positions 582 to 1251 of the family's 2925-position model. Lineage: Bacteria; Pseudomonadati; Pseudomonadota; Gammaproteobacteria; Enterobacterales; Enterobacteriaceae. The record is from RNAcentral.